Molecule: unclassified non-coding RNA, 336 nt
Filed under: soil metagenome
Description: partial contains 5.8S ribosomal RNA, internal transcribed spacer 2, and large subunit ribosomal RNA
Rfam family: 5.8S ribosomal RNA (bases 1-120)
Source: RNAcentral
GAUGAAGAACGUAGCGAAAUGCGAUAAGUAAUGUGAAUUGCAGAAUUCAGUGAAUCAUCGAAUCUUUGAACGCACAUUGCGCCCCUUGGUAUUCCAUGGGGCAUGCCUGUUCGAGCGUCAUUUGUACCUUCAAGCUCUGCUUGGUGUUGGGUGUUUGUCUCGCCUCUGCGUGUAGACUCGCCUCAAAACAAUUGGCAGCCGGCGUAUUGAUUUCGGAGCGCAGUACAUCUCGCGCUUUGCACUCAUAACGACGACGUCCAAAAGUACAUUUUUACACUCUUGACCUCGGAUCAGGUAGGGAUACCCGCUGAACUUAAGCAUAUCAAUAAGCGGAGG